AUUGAACGCUGGCGGCAGGCCUAACACAUGCAAGUCGGGCGAGCGGCGGACGGGUGAGUAAUGUAUGGGGCCCUGCCUGGUGGCGGGGGCUAACUACUGGAAACUGUAGCUAAUACCGCGUACCAUUGGCUCAGCCCAAGUGGGAUUAGGUAGUUGGUGGGGUAAAGGCUCACCAAGCCGACGAUCUCUAGCUGGUCUGAGAGGAUGACCAGCCACACUGGGACUGAGACACGGCCCAGACUCCUACGGGAGGCAGCAGUGGGGAAUAUUGCGCAAUGGGGGCAACCUGACGCAGCCAUGCCGCGUGAAUGAAGAAGGCAUUCGGGUUGUAAAGUUCUGUCGGUAGCGAAGCGUUAACUACAGAAGAAGCACCGGCUAAAUCCGUGCCAGCAGCCGCGGUAAUUC
RNAcentral lists this ribosomal RNA (405 nucleotides) under uncultured bacterium. Its description in RNAcentral is "partial 16S ribosomal RNA". It matches the Rfam family "Bacterial small subunit ribosomal RNA", at positions 30 to 526 of the family's 1533-position model. The record is from RNAcentral.